This 1237-nucleotide ribosomal RNA is filed under the name metagenome. RNAcentral's name for it is "bacterial LSU rRNA". It matches the Rfam family "Bacterial large subunit ribosomal RNA", at positions 1564 to 2808 of the family's 2925-position model. The record is from RNAcentral.
UGAGUACGAGAUGCUACGGCAUCGAAGCAGUCAAUGUCAUACUUCCAAGAAAAGCUUGCAAUGUCAUAAACAAAUAAUGCCUGUACCAUAACCGACACAGGUGGGUAGGUAGAGUAUACUAAGGGGCGCGAGAUAACUCUCUCUAAGGAACUCGGCAAAAUGACUCCGUAACUUCGGGAGAAGGAGUGCCUUAUUUUUAUAAGGUUGCAAUAACAAGAUCCAAGCAACUGUUUACCAAAAACACAGGUCUCCGCUAAGUCGUAAGACGAUGUAUGGGGGCUGACGCCUGCCCAGUGCCAGAAGGUUAAAGAAGUUGGUUAGCAUUAGCGAAGCUGAUAACUGAAGCCCUGGUGAACGGCGGCCGUAACAAUAACGGUCCUAAGGUAGCGAAAUUCCUUGUCGGGUAAGUUCCGACCCGCACGAAAGGCGUAAUGAUUUGGAUACUGUCUCGGAGAGGGGCUCGGUGAAAUAGACUUGUCUGUGAAGAUGCGGACUACCUGCACCUGGACAGAAAGACCCUAUGAAGCUGUACUGUAACUUGAGAUUGAAAUUGGACUUUAUCUGCGCAGUAUAGGUGGUAGACGUUGAAAAUAUUCUUGCGGGAAUAUUGGAGUCAUCAGUGAGAUACCACUCUUAUAAUGUUAGAUUUCUAACUUUGUAUCAUUAUCUGGUCAAAGAACAGUUUCAGGCGGGCAGUUUGACUGGGGCGGUCGCCUCCCAAACGGUAACGGAGGCGCACAAAGGUUUCCUCUGAACGUGUAGAAAUCGUAUCUAGAGUGUAAAGGCAUAAGGAAGCUUGACUGUGAGACCUACAAGUCGAGCAGGGACGAAAGUCGGUCUUAGUGAUCUGACGGUGCUGAGUGGAAAGGCCGUCACUCAACGGAUAAAAGUUACUCUAGGGAUAACAGGCUGAUCUCCCCCAAGAGUUCACAUCGACGGGGAGGUUUGGCACCUCGAUGUCGGCUCAUCGCAUCCUGGGGCGGUAGUACGUCCCAAGGGUUGGGCUGUUCGCCCAUGAAAGCGGUACGCGAGCUGGGCUCAGAAUGUCGUGAGACAGUUCGGUCCAUAUCCGGUGUAGGCGUUAGAAUAUUGAGAGGAGCCUUCUUUAGUACGAGAGGACCGAGAAGGACAUACCUCUGGUGUACCAGUUAUCGUGCCAACGGUAAACGCUGGGUAGCCAUGUAUGGAGAGGAUAACCGCUGAAAGCAUCUAAGUGGGAAGCCCACCUCAAGAUAAG